ACCCGCUGAACUUAAGCAUAUCAAUAAGCGGAGGAAAAGAAACCAACAGGGAUUGCCCUAGUAACGGCGAGUGAAGCGGCAACAGCUCAAAUUUGAAAUCUGGCGUCUUUGGCGUCCGAGUUGUAAUUUGCAGAGGGCGCUUUGGCAUUGGCAGCGGUCCAAGUUCCUUGGAACAGGACGUCACAGAGGGUGAGAAUCCCGUACGUGGUCGCUAGCCUUUACCGUGUAAAGCCCCUUCGACGAGUCGAGUUGUUUGGGAAUGCAGCUCUAAAUGGGAGGUAAAUUUCUUCUAAAGCUAAGUACUGGCCAGAGACCGAUAGCGCACAAGUAGAGUGAUCGAAAGAUGAAAAGCACUUUGGAAAGAGAGUUAAAAAGCACGUGAAAUUGUUGAAAGGGAAGCGCUUGCAGCCAGACUUGCCUGUAGUUGCUCAUCCAGGUUUCUACCUGGUGCACUCUUCUAUAGGCAGGCCAGCAUCAGUUUGGGCGGUUGGAUAAAGGUCUCUGUCAUGUACCUCUCUUCGGGGAGAACUUAUAGGGGAGACGACAUGCAACCAGCCUGGACUGAGGUCCGCGCAUCUGCUAGGAUGCUGGCGUAAUGGCUGUAAGCGGCCCGUCUUGAAACACGGACCAAGGAGUCUAACAUCUAUGCGAGUGUUUGGGUGUCAAGCCCGAGCGCGUGAUGAAAGUGAACGGAGGUGGGAACCUUUCGGGGUGCACCAUCGACCGAUCCUGAUGUCUUCGGAUGGAUUUGAGUAAGAGCAUAGCUGUUGGGACCCGAAAGAUGGUGAACUAUGCUUGAAUAGGGUGAAGCCAGAGGAAACUCUGGUGGAGGCUCGCAGCGGUUCUGACGUGCAAAUCGAUCGUCAAAUUUGGGCAUAGGGGCGAAAGACUAAUCGAACUAUCUAGUAGCUGGUUCCUGCCG
Molecule: ribosomal RNA, 922 nt
Filed under: Didymella segeticola
Lineage: Eukaryota; Fungi; Ascomycota; Dothideomycetes; Pleosporales; Didymellaceae
Description: partial large subunit ribosomal RNA
Rfam family: Eukaryotic large subunit ribosomal RNA
Source: RNAcentral